CUACGGGCCGCUGCAGUGGGGAAUAUUGCACAAUGGGCGCAAGCCUGAUGCAGCCAUGCCGCGUGUAUGAAGAAGGCCUUCGGGUUGUAAAGUACUUUCAGCGGGGAGGAAGGGAGUAAAGUUAAUACCUUUGCUCAUUGACGUUACCCGCAGAAGAAGCACCGGCUAACUCCGUGCCAGCAGCCGCGGUAAUACGGAGGGUGCAAGCGGUAAUCGGAAUUACUGGGCGUAAAGCGCACGCAGGCGGUUUGGUAAGUCAGAUGUGAAAUCCCCGGGCUCAACCUGGGAACUGCAUCUGAUACUGGCAAGCUUGAGUCUCGUAGAGGGGGGUAGAAUUCCAGGUGUAGCGGUGAAAUGCGUAGAGAUCUGGAGGAAUACCGGUGGCGAAGGCGGCCCCCUGGACGAAGACUGACGCUCAGGUGCGAAAGCGUGGGGAGCAAACAGGAUUAGAUACCCGUGUAGUC
Molecule: ribosomal RNA, 464 nt
Filed under: uncultured bacterium
Lineage: Bacteria
Description: partial 16S ribosomal RNA
Rfam family: Bacterial small subunit ribosomal RNA
Source: RNAcentral